UGGAGUUGCUGGGUCCAAGGGCAGGAAGGGUUUUAAGACUGGGGUUCAGUGGUGCCAGAGCCCCCCAGGAAGGGUGGAGGGACCCACUUGCCCAUCCCAGUGCCCCGCCCCAUCUCCUAGUGCAAAGUCAGGUCCACACCCGGCACCCACAUCUACCCGGGGCUGGGUCCUUGGCAUGCAAUUAUGUGGAACAGACUUAGAAAACGCAAAGCAAACUGUCUUCUCCUCCACCUUCCCUCGAGGACCAGCUGCCUACUGUCCCUCCCCGGCCCCCCACGCCUUUCCCCUCCAGGUUCAGGCUCCCUGAAUCAUGACCCCCCAGCAUGGCCAGGCCCGGGAGGGCUGUCCUACAAUUUGAGGGUGGAGCAUUGGCACGGAAGCCAGCAUCUCUCUCUGUGCCUCACUUCCCCCUCACUCUACAUCGAGAAUCCAGCCAGGAUUAUGCCUGUUCCAGCAGAAACAAGAGGUGUCUGCCAAAGACGCAGCCGCUAACCCCGUGCCCUGUGUUUUGGGCAUGGAUGGGGCAUUCCCUCCUCCUUCUGGGAACCGGAAGCAUCCGGGCUGGCCUGGGAGCCAUCAAGGGCUCAGACUCCGCAUUUGGCAAGACCUGUUUCUAACUGCUACCCCCACCUCCUGGCCGUUGAGCUGGCAAGUCACUGAAGCCCGUGCCCCUCAGUCUUCUCAUCUGUAUGAUGAAGGAACCAUGCGCAGCGUCUGGCUUGGCGCCUGCAACAGAGUCAGCCCUCAGGAUGUAGUAACCUCGCCCUAUUUAUACCAUGUUCGUGUGCCUGGAACAGGCUCCGGGGGCGCCUCGGACCCCAACUGCCACGGCAGCCACACAGCAGGACGAGGAGAGAACAGCCCGUGGGGCCGGAUGCGGCGGGGCUGGGACGCCAGGCAGACGAGAUGCCGGCUGUGCAACCUCCCUGGUCCCUUCACAUCUCUGAGGUGCACUUGGCUCGCGGGUCAAGUGGGGAUACAGCGCCUUUCUCCGGGGGCGCUGAGCGCGGCGAUGAGCGUGGGUAACACAGCCAGGAGUGCUUCUCCCCCGGGGGAACAGGAUUUUCCGGGGUCCGGACACUCACGCCCCCCGGAUCGGCGCCCCGGAGCGCAGGCGCGCGGCGGGGGGCUGCCCCCCAGGCGAAGGGCCCGGCUCGGCAUCUGGAAAGACCCGCGGGUCGCGCGGCCCCGGAGCGGCCGGCAGGGGGCAGGCUGUCCCCGCGAGCCGGCCGUGUCCUCGCGUCACCCCGCCGCCUCCAGCCCCCGCGCCUCCUGAAGGGGCCACGCGGCCGCCUCUGCGCGGAGGGCGAGCGGCCCUUCCCCGGGGAGCCCUCUCCAUCAGCGCGGGCCCAAUAAUUUACGUUUAAUUUGGGAGCGGUUUAAUGUUUAAUUUUAAAAACUGAAUGAUUCAUUACCAUAUUAAUAAAUAAUAACAUUUAUUAUUCUCCUAAUGAGUGUCC
Molecule: long non-coding RNA, 1460 nt
Filed under: Equus caballus (horse)
Lineage: Eukaryota; Metazoa; Chordata; Mammalia; Perissodactyla; Equidae
Description: lncRNA (ENSECAG00000042689.2)
Source: RNAcentral